ACAGCAGUCGCCGCGGUAAUACGUAUGUCACGAGCGUUAUCCGGAUUUAUUGGGCGUAAAGCGCGUCUAGGUGGUUAUAUAAGUCUGAUGUGAAAAUGCAGGGCUCAACUCUGUAUUGCGUUGGAAACUGUAUAACUAGAGUACUGGAGAGGUAAGCGGAACUACAAGUGUAGAGGUGAAAUUCGUAGAUAUUUGUAGGAAUGCCGAUGGGGAAGCCAGCUUACUGGACAGAUACUGACGCUGAAGCGCGAAAGCGUGGGUAGCAAACAGGAUUAGAUACCCCUGUAGUCCCUGUCUCUUAUACA
Molecule: ribosomal RNA, 305 nt
Filed under: uncultured bacterium
Lineage: Bacteria
Description: partial 16S ribosomal RNA
Rfam family: Bacterial small subunit ribosomal RNA
Source: RNAcentral